This 372-nucleotide unclassified non-coding RNA is filed under the name fungal sp. RNAcentral describes it as "partial internal transcribed spacer region". The stretch from base 1 to 68 matches the Rfam family "Eukaryotic small subunit ribosomal RNA", at positions 1764 to 1831 of the family's 1831-position model. Lineage: Eukaryota; Fungi. The record is from RNAcentral.
CUCGGUCAUUUAGAGGAAGGUGAAGUCGUAACAAGGUUUCCGUAGGUGAACCUGCGGAAGGAUCAUUACCACACCGAUCCAAGAUCUUUUUCACCGCGAACUGCGGUCCCCUGGUUGCUGGCGGAGAUUUACUUACUGGGUGCUCUAUGGAGAACCUGCUGGGUGACCCGCUGGUGGGACUGCGAAACAAAGUGCCUCGGCUGCUUCUGUGGCCGAGACGCGACCGUCACUUUACGACAUUUACCGGUCUUGACCAAAUAAACUGAACCAAAAAAGGGCUUGCUGGAACUGUGGCUUUACUGCCCAGUGACAGCAGCCUGUUAAAAAACAUUAAUACCUUACAACUUUCAGCGAUGGAUGUCUAGGUUCCCA